Ceratina calcarata is the source of this 1946-nucleotide long non-coding RNA. RefSeq lists it as uncharacterized. Lineage: Eukaryota; Metazoa; Arthropoda; Insecta; Hymenoptera; Apidae. The transcript has 2 exons. The record is from RefSeq and is a predicted model, not a curated record.
CAUAGAGAAAAGAAUAUUUAUCGUUUGUUUUCGAUUCGUCUUCGAUCAUACUUGGGCUACUACGUUACUUACGCGCACUCCUGGAUUAUUCCCCGACACGAUCAACCCUUUUAACGUACGAUGCGUUCGAAGAUAGUGACACGAUACUUCUUCCAAUGCAGAUCGUCAACGAUGGAUCGAUUUGUCCAAGUUAUGGGACUCAAACUCUACGAUAUUUGAUAGACAUUCGUUAUAAUAAUAAAUUCAAAUGCGCAUAUGAUAAUUACAUCAGCUUUCGCUUCACCCGUAGCAGUACUUCUCGAAUUAGAUCCUCACGUACCCCCUUUUUCUGUUCCUUCAAUUUCGUGUAUCGAAUUAAAAGAGAAAAAUGAAAAAAAAAAUACUUCGUUUUAAUUGUUCUACGUGCGUGCGAAAAACGAAGGCUUCGAUUUGCCACGGGGUAAACUAAAUGAUAAAUGUUAUAUUAAUUAAGCGAUUCGUAAUAACAACAAAAGAAACAAUAAUAUUAAUAACAAUGAUAAUAUUAACAACAACAAUAAUAAUAAUAAUUAUAAUAAUAAUAUUGUCGUAUCAAAGUGAAGGAGGAAUAGUUAUUUUUGUGUUUUAUUGGGUUGGGUGAUGCGUGUACAUAUGUUAGGACACCUCGCUUUAUACGUAGAACGAAAUACUGAGGAACCCAGAAAGUCGACUCCGGUUACCGAACAUCUGGUGAAUCGGUCAUCUUUUUCUUUCCCUUGUUGCUUCGUCGCAUCGUGCUCCUCCCUCGAUCGAACACAUUUACCGUUCAUUCAUCUGUUAUUCUUCCCUCGAAGAGUCACCGAGGGGACCGAAAACAAAACUGGCAUAGACUCGCGCAGAUAGCGUGAAACCCGGAGCAAAAAGGAACAAAAGGAAAAGAGAUGUAAAGCGCGCAUUAGAUGCACACACAUGCAAACGGCUUCUCGAGAAAUGUAAAACACUGGCUCUUGGAUAAACAGACUUGGACACAACUCUUCCACAUGAGAGAAGAGAAAACUGAGUAUAAAAGAAGAAUCGAUACCGAUAUGGGAUUAGUAUUGUGCGACGUGAGCGAAGAUGUAGCGAUGACUACGCAUAGGAUAGUUAGCACGUAUUCGUAACGAAAGAAUCCUAUCGAGAAAGGAACGAAUUGUUGAUCGUAUUAAUCAGGUAGCGCGGGACCGCCGUAACUUCGCGUAAAAUACACACGUAACGUUUGUGCGUCCCUAGGAAACAGUACUAUUAUAAUACAAACUAUUAUUGCUGUGGUGGUAAUAAUGUUUAUUAAUUAUUAUCUUAUUAUAAAUAACACUGGAAAACCUACUUAUAGGAAAAUGGAAGGCAAAUAGGAAAACGUACGUCGGUCUUUCGGUUGAGACACGCUAUACACGAGUACGAUAUAAGUACAUACAAUAAAAGAUGUUCUAUUAGUUGAACCACGCUCGAUUCUCUAGAAGUACAUAGGUCAGACAAAUGUUCAUUUCGGUUGAACGUUUAAAGACGGGUUUCUUGGCGGGGAGUUUGUCGACAAGUGUUCAAACACGUACGUAUAUCCAUACAGCGGCGACGAUGACGACGACGACGACGACGACGACCAGGACGGUAACCUUAUCGUCCGUCGUCUAACGUUUAUCGCUUAUCGCUUUAUCGUUAUCAUUAUUGGGAAGGUCCUCCGCUAUAUGUAUGUAUACAUAUAUAUGUAGGUAUGUAUGCGAGCAGAGGCAGAGGCGCGAGAUAACGUAAGGAGGCGCGUAAAGAAAGAGCUGUUGCGAAUAUAAUCGCGGGAGCACUUCGAUGAUUAUUGUCUAACGAUAAGAACACGUUGUUAUAAUAAUUUAAAGCCUAUUUUCGAAUUUGAUUUAUGAAAAUUGCGAUAUACGACACACAGAACUAUUAUGUGACAUGCAACAGUAAGGUAAAUAAAUGGCAAGUAAAGAAACGAUCGUGAA